Molecule: long non-coding RNA, 614 nt
Organism: Toxotes jaculatrix (banded archerfish)
Lineage: Eukaryota; Metazoa; Chordata; Actinopteri; Toxotidae
Exons: 4
Source: RefSeq, a predicted model, not a curated record
AAGCCAAACUGCUGCUGGGAAUCUAAAGACGACGGGGAGUGGGCGUGUAACCCCCAACAGCAGAGAGACAGGAAACAAGCUGGUGUCCCCAGUGUGAACACCAGAGACAAACCUGUGCCCUACUGGGGUUGGAUGGUAACCAUCAUUCAUCGUCUUAGCCUUCAGACACCUGGCAGACUACUUUUCCAGGGUCAGGCACACAAACGCAAGCCUUACAUGUUUAUCUUUCAAGGGAAAUCACUUUGCACUUAAGUUCCAUGUAUUGCAACCAUGUACCUGCGCAGCAGUGGUUUGUCAUUUUCUGUGAAGAAGGUGAUGGCCUUGCCCUGAUGUCCAGCUCUGCCAGUACGACCUGAGGAACAGCAAACAGAAAAGAUACAGAUAAAACGAGGGAACGGAUGAGCAGACAGGGGGAAAAAGAAAUACAUUAAAGGACACACCACAAGAUUAAAGAAAAAAAAGCACAUCUUCAGCGCUGGUGGGGAAGUCGUAGUUCAGCACGAGGUUGACUCCUUUGAAGUCGAUUCCUCUGGCGAGCAGAGCCGUGCAGAUCAACACCCAAAUCUUACCAGAGCGAAAACUGUUCACUACGUUGUCCCUCUGAAACAGAUGAG